This 77-nucleotide transfer RNA is filed under the name Kocuria rosea subsp. polaris. RNAcentral's name for it is "tRNA-Thr". It matches the Rfam family "tRNA". Rfam says of the family: Transfer RNA (tRNA) molecules are approximately 80 nucleotides in length. The record is from RNAcentral. Lineage: Bacteria; Bacillati; Actinomycetota; Actinomycetes; Micrococcales; Micrococcaceae.
GCCCCCUUAGCUCAGCUGGCCAGAGCAUCUGUCUUGUAAACAGAGGGUCGCCGGUUCGAAUCCGGCAGGGGGCUCAA